GACGAACGCUGGCGGCGUGCCUAAUACAUGCAAGUAGAACGCUGAAGAGAGGAGCUUGCUCUUCUUGGAUGAGUUGCGAACGGGUGAGUAACGCGUAGGUAACCUGCCUUGUAGCGGGGGAUAACUAUUGGAAACGAUAGCUAAUACCGCAUAACAAUGGAUGACACAUGUCAUUUAUUUGAAAGGGGCAAUUGUUCCACUACAAGAUGGACCUGCGUUGUAUUAGCUAGUAGGUGAGGUAAUGGCUCACCUAGGCGACGAUACAUAGCCGACCUGGGAGGGUGAUCGGCCACACUGGGACUGAGACACGGCCCAGACUCCUACGGGAGGCAGCAGUAGGGAAUCUUCGGCAAUGGGGGCAACCCUGACCGAGCAACGCCGCGUGAGUGAAGAAGGGUUUCGGAUCGUAAAGCUCUGUUGUAAGUCAAGAACGGGUGUGAGAGUGGAAAGUUCACACUGUGACGGUAGCUUACCAGAAAGGGACGGCUAACUACGUG
RNAcentral lists this ribosomal RNA (497 nucleotides) under uncultured bacterium. Its description in RNAcentral is "partial 16S ribosomal RNA". It matches the Rfam family "Bacterial small subunit ribosomal RNA", at positions 28 to 507 of the family's 1533-position model. The record is from RNAcentral.